UAGGGAAUCUUCGGCAAUGGGGGGAACCCUGACCGAGCAACGCCGCGUGAGUGAAGAAGGUUUUCGGAUCGUAAAGCUCUGUUGUUAAGGAAGAACGUGUGUGAGAGUGGAAAGUUCACACAGUGACGGUACUUAACCAGAAAGGGACGGCUAACUACGUGCCAGCAGCCGCGGUAAUACGUAGGUCCCGAGCGUUGUCCGGAUUUAUUGGGCGUAAAGCGAGCGCAGGCGGUUAGAUAAGUCUGAAGUGAAAGGCUGUGGCUUAACCAUAGUACGCUUUGGAAACUGUUUAACUUGAGUGCAAGAGGGGAGAGUGGAAUUCCAUGUGUAGCGGUGAAAUGCGUAGAUAUAUGGAGGAACACCGGUGGCGAAAGCGGCUCUCUGGCUUGUAACUGACGCUGAGGCUCGAAAGCGUGGGGAGCAAACAGGAUUAGAUACCCUGGUAGUCCACGCCGUAAACGAUGAGUGCUAGGUGUUAGACCCUUUCCGGGGUUUAGUGCCGCAGCUAACGCAUUAAGCACUCCGCCUGGGGAGUACGACCGCAAGGUUG
Molecule: ribosomal RNA, 550 nt
Filed under: uncultured bacterium
Lineage: Bacteria
Description: bacterial SSU rRNA
Rfam family: Bacterial small subunit ribosomal RNA
Source: RNAcentral